GCUCAAUGAUUUUUUAAAUUGCUGUAGUAUUUUGACUAUACAAAGGUAUUGAAAUAAGGUUUUAAUUGAAUGCUAAGGGAAUGGAAUAUCAAAAAAUAACUUUCUUAAAAUUAAAAAUUGAAAUUUUUUUAAUUUGUGCAAAAACAAUUAUGAAAAUUAAAGACAAGAAGACCCUAAGAAUUUUUAAAAUUUAAAUAAUACAUUUUUUGUUUUAAUUAAAUUUUAACUGGGGCGGUUAAAAAAUAUUAAAAACUUUUUAAUUUUAAAAUGACCCAUUAUUAAUGAAAAUAUGAUUAAAUACUCUAGGGAUAACAGCGUUAUAUUUUUUGAUAGAUCAUAUUGACAAAAAAGUUUGCGACCUCGAUGUUGGAUUAGGAUACUUUUUUAAUGAAGAUAUUAAAAUAAGAAGUUUGUUCAACUUUUAAAUUCCUACUUGAUCUGAGUUCAGACCGG
This 453-nucleotide ribosomal RNA is filed under the name Rhipicephalus microplus (southern cattle tick). RNAcentral describes it as "partial 16S ribosomal RNA". The stretch from base 308 to 453 matches the Rfam family "Bacterial large subunit ribosomal RNA", at positions 2473 to 2619 of the family's 2925-position model. The record is from RNAcentral. Lineage: Eukaryota; Metazoa; Arthropoda; Arachnida; Ixodida; Ixodidae.